CGGGCUGAUCCGCGGGUGCUGCUGUGUGGGGCCGGGGCCGCGGCACCUCGGCGGGCUCCCUCCCUCCUUCCCUCCUCCCCUGCCUCUCUCGGCCUGCGGGAGGGCAGCGGGCGGCCUGGAGCCAGGAGCAGAGCCCUUCCAAGGGGAGCCCAGUGAUACCAGGGGCCAUAGGCACCUACGGGGAACAGUGGGAACUCUCUGGAUGAACACCGGGAAGCCCUGUCCCCCGUGAGGCUGACAGAGCACAGGCACAGCUUGCCCGGUGAGCUGUCCGUCCUCGUAGGAAACACCGAAAGCCGCCCGGGCACGGCUCUGCGCCUCCAGCUCUGGGUGGCCCUGCUACAGCAGGGGGCCGGACCAAAUAACCUCCAGAGAUCCCUUCCCGCCUCCAGUGCCCUGUGAUCCUCUGAAAUCCCGUAGAGCCUCGCUCGGAAAAAGCAGAACUGAGGAUUCUCCUUCACGAUCCCAUAUAACCAUGGUGCCUACAUACUCCUUGAUGGGACCUUUCAGAAGACACGAGUCUCAAAAGUAGCCCUUUUUCUCCUGGACCUUCCUACAAGCUCUCCAAUCAGUACAUCAUUCAAGACCACAUGGCUGCUCAUUUCAAGAAGUUGAUGUCUGCUGAAGCUGCUGUUGAUUCAUCUGCACCAAAGUGUUUGCAUACCAGUGUUAAAUAUCAACCAAUAUCAUCAGCUAAGCUGCUUCUACUAUAUUGGACAAGGACCAGCAGAAAAGAGACAGAAUAAUUCAAACCCUUGAUAAAUACAAGAAGGAUCUUGUACGUGGUCUUCCUGCCUCACCAGUCAAAUGCAGAAGUAUUUCUCCAAACCAGCAGAAGAUCAAUUGGGCACUGUUGGAAAAUGGUCACCCACUGUCUGGUCAGAGCAACUAUCCCAGGACAAAGAGAGAGCAACCCCUCUCUGUAUCAGGCAGAAGUUCACUUAAAGGACUCAGAGGCUGAGUCCUGCUGCAAGAAAGGCUGUCCCAAAUACUGCUCUGUGUGCUUGGUCUCCAACCAACAUCAGUUCACAGUCCUAGUGCCCACAGAUCAUCUGCUUCACCCCUCCUGCAGCCUCACAUGCCUUUGAGCAGUCACAACAGGAAGAAGGCAUUUCAGAACUCUGUUCAUAAAACCUACUCUGGGGACUUCCUUGACAAACAUGCAAUUUACUUUGCAGAAAAGAAGCAGUGUUUUACCUCUCAGAUCUUGAAGACAUCACAUCAACCUUUGCUUGUAAAAUAUAGGUAUUAUAAUCCUCCUUCCAGAAAAAGGAGCUCCUCCCCAGGCAGACCAUCAAUUAAAUCAGCAGGCAUCAACAGCAAAAAGAGAGAAGGCUUACACAGGUGCUGACAUCAAUGCUAAAAGUUACACAAUUUUUUUUCAAACACAUUAUUUGAAUCAUAGCUGUUUCUCACUGUGCUUUUAAUCUUUCAGAUUUUUAGAGGAUGAACAUAUGAGACCACAUUCUGCUAACUUUUCUCAGCAGCCAGUUGAGGUUAGUGUAUCCAGUGAGUUACAAAGAAAAAAGGGCAGAAAACACUACUUAUGUACAAAAGUUGUCCUGGUUAUGUGAAAAUUAAAUGGAUAAUGGAGUCAGUGGCUUUGGGGAAUCUUUGUUAAGAGCAAAACCAAAAUACUCAACUUCCUUAAGAGAAGUGACUACGGUUGUAACUGAGAAAUCCAGCAUGCAGGGCUAGAAGGGGUCAACAGGGAUCUGUGAAUAAAACAGGAGCAGCUAAAGUCUUUGAGAAACACAAAUGAGGCACUGUGAUGUGAGAAACAGUGUACCCCAACACAAAUCUGCUCUUCUGAGAGCAGAGUUCUUUCCUACUUGACUGAACUCUUGCUUUUUGGUUGGUUUACAGCCUUUCAUUCCAUCUAAAUAAUAACUUGGAGCCCAGAAAUGUCCAGAAAAAGUGCUAUUCUCUCUGACUACGGUCACAUGUCAUGCAAGAUUUUGUCUGUAAGUUGCACUCCAUUAGUCAUCUGGAUUUUCAAGAUGAAUGGUGAAUUGAUUUAGGAAAUUUUAGUGCACUUAAAAAUAAGGGUUGCUUAACAAUAGCCAAAGCCAUGCACGAUAGAGGAGUUUUGUAUAAUUCCUUGGCCCACGUGCCCCUUUACAGAAGCCAUUCUGAAUUUCUACACAGCUCAGCCAAGGAACCACAGGCAUGAUAUGUGAUAGCUUUGUGCUUGAUAGUGCUAUUUCAGUUCUUAUUUCAACCACCAAAACCUUCAUUUAACAAUAUUAACUGGAGUAGCUCCUACUUUCAUUUGAUGACCUGGUCUGAUUUUCUAAGUCCUCUUUCAAAAACACAAAUGUAUUUUGCAUGUCCUUCUAAAUAAAAUGCUGUUGUAUUUGUAUGGAAUCUGUAAAGAUUUUCAAUUUCGACAGAAAUUCUGAUUUUCUUUAUAUUUGCUUCCUUUCUCUUGGGUUAUACAAGCUGAUUUCCAUUUCUGUUACCAUGAACCUACCCAAUAAUAAUACUUGUUCAUUAUUUACAUGAGUGAUUGACACCCAAGACGUUUAUUUCACAUGAGCUGGAAUGUGAUAUAGUUGUGAUUUUGAUAUGUUGUGGUAUCAGAUUAUUUCCCCUGGUACUCUGAAUGGAAAUAAAUAAUGAGAA
Molecule: long non-coding RNA, 2625 nt
Organism: Onychostruthus taczanowskii (white-rumped snowfinch)
Lineage: Eukaryota; Metazoa; Chordata; Aves; Passeriformes; Passeridae
Exons: 7
Source: RefSeq, a predicted model, not a curated record